CCCAGAGACGCUGGCGGCGUGCUUAACACAUGCAAGUCGAACGAUGAUCUCCAGCUUGCUGGGGGGAUUAGUGGCGAACGGGUGAGUAACACGUGAGUAACCUGCCCUUGACUCUGGGAUAAGCCUGGGAAACUGGGUCUAAUACCGGAUACGACCGUCCCGCGCAUGCGGUGGUGGUGGAAAGCUUUUGCGGUUUUGGAUGGACUCGCGGCCUAUCAGCUUGUUGGUGGGGUAAUGGCCUACCAAGGCGACGACGGGUAGCCGGCCUGAGAGGGUGACCGGCCACACUGGGACUGAGACACGGCCCAGACUCCUACGGGAGGCAGCAGUGGGGAAUAUUGCACAAUGGGCGAAAGCCUGAUGCAGCGACGCCGCGUGAGGGAUGACGGCCUUCGGGUUGUAAACCUCUUUCAGUAGGGAAGAAGCGAAAGUGACGGUACCUGCAGAAGAAGCGCCGGCUAACUACGUGCCAGCAGCCGCGGUAAUACGUAGGGCGCAAGCGUUAUCCGGAAUUAUUGGGCGUAAAGAGCUCGUAGGCGGUUUGUCGCGUCUGCUGUGAAAGACCGGGGCUCAACUCCGGUUCUGCAGUGGGUACGGGCAGACUAGAGUGAUGUAGGGGAGACUGGAAUUCCUGGUGUAGCGGUGAAAUGCGCAGAUAUCAGGAGGAACACCGAUGGCGAAGGCAGGUCUCUGGGCAUUAACUGACGCUGAGGAGCGAAAGCAUGGGGAGCGAACAGGAUUAGAUACCCUGGUAGUCCAUGCCGUAAACGUUGGGCACUAGGUGUGGGGGACAUUCCACGUUUUCCGCGCCGUAGCUAACGCAUUAAGUGCCCCGC
RNAcentral lists this ribosomal RNA (836 nucleotides) under Arthrobacter sp. RNAcentral describes it as "bacterial SSU rRNA". It matches the Rfam family "Bacterial small subunit ribosomal RNA", at positions 23 to 872 of the family's 1533-position model. Lineage: Bacteria; Bacillati; Actinomycetota; Actinomycetes; Micrococcales; Micrococcaceae. The record is from RNAcentral.